This 669-nucleotide long non-coding RNA is filed under the name Lonchura striata (white-rumped munia). RNAcentral's name for it is "domestica (Bengalese finch) lncRNA (ENSLSDG00000009767.1)". The record is from RNAcentral. Lineage: Eukaryota; Metazoa; Chordata; Aves; Passeriformes; Estrildidae.
AAAUUAAUAUUUCUUUAAUAGAAACUUGUUAAUGGUUAUUAAGUGCUUAGGAGACUAAUUCUCAUAAUCAUAAAUUAAUUAAAUAAGUAGAAACCAGAAAUCCAUUGAAAACCAAUUAGUUUUAGGUCUGUGAGUGCUAUUUACAUUACAGAAAACAAAGUUUAUGCUUCUAAAUAAUUUAGGCAAUUGAAUAUUUUUAUAUUAUUUCAUUGCUAAAAAGCAGACACAAAUUUUUCUGGUAUCACUUAGUGAAUAUGUGAUAAAUAUUUAUGGGUCAUUUUAUUUAAACACUUUAUAUGCAUUAAACAACCAUUCUACUCUGUAAAUUUUAGGUCCAACAGGCAUAAACAAUUGAGGAAAUUCUGUGUUUUAGUUGAAGAUACUUCAUCUUAAGAAGGCUCUGAUUAUAUUGAGACCUCCAAGGCUCAAAAGCCUUACACAUGUUUCCUAAAAAGGGCAUGAUUAAUGGUGUUUUAUGCUGUUCAUCACUAGAAGUAAUCCUUUUAACAAGAAACUCUUUCCUAGACCUAGAAGAUCAGAUGUGAUUCAGUAAGGUGAGUAUUGAUUAAAUAAUGUACCCAUCCACCUGGGAAUGAAGUUCAGAGAGUUUGUAGGAAAAAUUAGCCUAAAUUAUCACUGAAUAAAAAAUAAAUAUUAUUUAUUAAUACA